CUAACAAUAAAUUAUAUAUUUUUUUAUUAUGGUUUUAACUUUUGUAUUUUUUUAUUUUUAAAUUUUUAAAGAAACUUUUUAUUUUUUGGACAACUGAAGUUUUUAUGUUUGCAUAUACAAUUAAAGCGGUAUUUAAAUUAGUUGACAUUUUUUCUAACUUUAUUGCAAAGUUGGGUCUUUGUAUUUCUUGCCAAUAAAUAUUUUUAUCUAUUAAACCAGGUAGGUUUUGUGAAAACGAGACUGUGCUUGUCAUUAUAAAUAUAAAAUAUGUAAAAUAAAAAAAUGCAUAAAAUAAUAAAAAACAACUAUAGUUAAAACAAUAAUAUUCUGAUUUAAUUUUUUUUUUCAAAAGCAACCCAGUAAACACAGAUUGGUUCAGAAAUGGUUUGAAAUAUACAUUUGAAGUGUAUAUUUCAAACUUUUUAUAUAUAAGUUUACUAAACGUCGAUCUAACGUUUAGAAUAUCGACUAACAUUAAACAAUAUUAUAAACCUUUAAUAGACCUUAAUUAAACUAAACAUUUAAAGAUUUAAAAUAUACGCUUUAAAUCUUUUAAUAUUUAUAUUUAUUAAACGUCAAUCAAACGUUUACAAUAUUGACUAAGAUAAGUCGUUGGCUAAAUAAUUAAAUUAGACUUAAAUGCGUUUUCAAGAUUCACCUCCUUACAGCAACUCAAAGCAAAACGAUUGAUAAAUAAAUAAUAAACAAGUAUCGGGUGCGCUAUUUUAUUUCAUGAAAGUUAAAUAGCUCUUAUUGCGACAAUCUACCUUCCUAAAUCCCAACAAAUCAAUAAACUCCGAUGUUUUAGAAAUUAUUGAUGACGACUUUGACACAGUUAAAAAAUAUAAGUUGCUGCUCUCUCGUUAUAAAAGUCGUGCGGCAAGAGCAUUUUUUGUAAGUUUUGUAAACAGUUUAAAUACAUUUUGUAAACGCUAGUAUGGUUGUGUAAAAGUAGGAACAGAGCUGGUAAAAACCACUGCAUAUGUUAUGUCACGACGUUACUAGUUUUUUAUUGUCAAAAAUAAACAUGGAUGGUACAGGAAAUUUUAGAAAACUUCCAUUCAGAAAAUCCUAUAUAUUUCAGGUUACGAAAUCAGACGAUUAGGGUACGAAUGUAGAAGAUGA
Molecule: non-coding RNA, 1125 nt
Organism: Hydra vulgaris (swiftwater hydra)
Lineage: Eukaryota; Metazoa; Cnidaria; Hydrozoa; Anthoathecata; Hydridae
Source: RefSeq, a predicted model, not a curated record